GAUGAAGAACGCAGCGAAAUGCGAUAAGUAGUGUGAAUUGCAGAAUUCAGUGAAUCAUCGAAUCUUUGAACGCACAUUGCGCCCUUUGGUAUUCCUUAGGGCAUGCCUGUUCGAGCGUCAUUUAAACCUUCAAGCCCUGCUUGGUGUUGGGUGCCUGUCCCGCCCCCGCGCGUGGACUCACCUCAAAUCCAUUGGCGGCCCCCGCAAGGCCACGAGCGCAGCAGAAACGCAAACUCGUGUGCCCGGCGGGCGGCUCCCAGAAGCUACACCCACCAUUUUGACCUCGGAUCAGGUAGGAAUACCCGCUGAACUUAAGCAUAUCAAUAAGCGGAGGA
Molecule: unclassified non-coding RNA, 335 nt
Filed under: soil metagenome
Description: partial contains 5.8S ribosomal RNA, internal transcribed spacer 2, and large subunit ribosomal RNA
Rfam family: 5.8S ribosomal RNA (bases 1-120)
Source: RNAcentral